This 208-nucleotide ribosomal RNA is filed under the name uncultured Staphylococcus sp. RNAcentral describes it as "partial 16S ribosomal RNA". It matches the Rfam family "Bacterial small subunit ribosomal RNA", at positions 134 to 334 of the family's 1533-position model. The record is from RNAcentral. Lineage: Bacteria; Bacillati; Bacillota; Bacilli; Caryophanales; Staphylococcaceae.
AAGAACUGGGAGUAACUUCUGGAAACCGGAGCUAAUACCGGAUAAUAUUUUGAACCGCAUGGUUCAAAAGUGAAAGACGGUCUUGCUGUCACUUAUAGAUGGAUCCGCGCCGCAUUAGCUAGUUGGUAAGGUAACGGCUUACCAAGGCAACGAUGCAUAGCCGACCUGAGAGGGUGAUCGGCCACACUGGAACUGAGACACGGUCCAG